GAUGAAGAACGUAGUGAAAUGCGAUAAGUAAUGUGAAUUGCAGAAUUCAGUGAAUCAUCGAAUCUUUGAACGCACAUUGCGCCCGCCAGUAUUCUGGCGGGCAUGCCUGUUCGAGCGUCAUUACAACCCUCAGGCCCCCGGGCCUGGCGUUGGGGAUCGGCGGAAGCCCCCUGCGGGCACAACGCCGUCCCCCAAAUACAGUGGCGGUCCCGCCGCAGCUUCCAUUGCGUAGUAGCUAACACCUCGCAACUGGAGAGCGGCGCGGCCACGCCGUAAAACAACCAACUUCUGAAUGUUGACCUCGAAUCAGGUAGGAAUACCCGCUGAACUUAAGCAUAUCAAUAAGCGGAGGA
RNAcentral lists this unclassified non-coding RNA (353 nucleotides) under soil metagenome. RNAcentral's name for it is "partial contains 5.8S ribosomal RNA, internal transcribed spacer 2, and large subunit ribosomal RNA". The stretch from base 1 to 120 matches the Rfam family "5.8S ribosomal RNA", at positions 35 to 154 of the family's 154-position model. The record is from RNAcentral.